Ictidomys tridecemlineatus (thirteen-lined ground squirrel) is the source of this 6434-nucleotide long non-coding RNA. RefSeq lists it as uncharacterized. NCBI's taxonomy places the organism in Eukaryota, Metazoa, Chordata, Mammalia, Rodentia, Sciuridae. The record is from RefSeq and is a predicted model, not a curated record.
GAAUGACAGGUGUGCAUACCAAAUCCAGCUAAAAUGCUUCUAAUCAAAGAAAAUCUUACCUAUGCCCCCUCCAGUUAACAUUCAGGGCAAGAGGAGAGCCCCUGUGUGCAGGAAGCCCUCCCCUCCCCCACUUCUGAGCAGACUUGCUCAGCUCUCCACUGUGCAUUCCCUCCACAUCCAGAUGCAUCUGUGUCCUAGGCAGGACCAGAAUGCCCCGGCCCUUGGUGCCCCACUCAUCUGGCAGCAUCCUAGAAGUGGAAAGGAAAUUUGAGGGGAGGUGUCAAACACAGGAGCCUGUGGAAGAUGACAGACAGCUCUGGGCAUAGGAGGAGGGGCCCAUAAGGACAGGGGGCAGGACAGAGAAACCAGAAGACAAAACUCACAACAAUCGUGUGAGCUGACUGCCGAGGAAGGGGCAGAGCCCGCAAGCAAAUCGGCCAUGUGUGUCGUGAGCUUGAGCCCAAGUAGAACAGGAAAUCAGUUCAACACCACAUGACUCACAUCCCAACCGUUGGAACCAGGUGAAGGGAACCCAACCCAAAGUGAGCUAGGACCAAAAAGAUGGCAGUGAAAACCUACAAGACUCAAAUUAAAACACAGCAAAUGGCCACGACAGCCAGCCACGAAGACAGAAAAUGAUUUUCAAGAGCAGGCUCACUAGGGCCACUGAGGGAAAUAAUGGCAAAAUAAAAACCUCCGCCAACAGAGGAUAAAUCUCUAAAGCCACAGUUAAUGGCCCAAUAAUUUUUUCCUUCAAUAACAAAAGAAUCAGCAAAAUCAAUUUCCCAGAUACCCAGAAAAGCACCCCACGGCAGCCUGGCACUUCCCAAACAGAUCAACACCUUUGCAAAGAUGGCCACCAAGUGCUACAGGUUCAAAAACAGUGCGAGGACAGGAAGCGGAAUCUGGCCAUUUUCACAGAGGAGGACAGGCCAGAACAGCCAGCUGCACACACGCAGCAGGCGGGGUGUGUGGCAGGAGACCAAAGGUCAGGAAGACUCCACCUCCUCCUCCAAGCUGGAGGGGGCCUGCCUGGGCCCUGGGCAGACGCGUGACUUCAACCCUGCGGCCUGGCCAGGGGGUUCCCUGACCAGACACAGAAGGGCCAGAACAGAACCCACCUCUAGCCCAGAUUUAUCCUGCAAGGAAAGGCAACCGGGGAGAAGGACAGAUGCCAGUUCCUGGGGUCCCUCGUGGCUGCUGGGCAGGGAACUCAAUGCCAUUCACUGGGGGCUACCAAAUGGAGGCGCCGACCCUGGCGAUACACACAGCACAGGUACGGGCACAGGCUGGGCAGGGCCCGAAAGCUGAGGUGCAAAAAAACCAGCUGCUCUUGGAGAUUCGGUGUGUUCCCCUGGAUAUGUGCUUCAGGACUAAUCAUUUUACAAGGCCCCAAAUCAUUAACAAAACGGCUGAUUACAGUUCUGGCAAUCAUUAUUUAAGUCAUUACUUAGACUGUUGGAUGCAAUAAAUAGAGAGAUGACAGAAUGGCAAACAGCUGAGAUUCCACCUCCAGAGCCCAAGAACACAGUGUCAGGGAAGGAACAGAGCCGUGGCGGAGCCACAUGGGCUCAUCCCAGUCUUCAGACGCGAACGGAGCCAGAUAAAUCACUCUAAGAUGCCUUCCUCCGCCUCGAUUGCAGGGGCCACUGCGCUAAAUUCUUACAUAGCCCCCAUCCACUUAAUUUUAGUGUUGGUUAUGUAUAUUCAGAGGCUCAAAAAUACUUGAUGAUUCCAGUGGACCCACACAAUUUUGAACUGUUUUUAAAUAUAAAAAUGGACAUAUUAAUGAACUAGAAAUCAAUUAGGACGUAGCAAAUCAAGUGCCUUGGUUCAUAAAGCGGUGUACACAUAGUACUGUGGCUCUGACAGUCAAGUUUUAACCAAAAGAUUCUCUCAGAAUAUGGGCCCAUCAGGGCUGGGGCUCAGUGGUAGAGCGCUUGCCUCACAUGUGUGAAGCACUGGGGUCCAUUCUCAGCGCCACAUAUAAAUAAAUAAAAUAAAGGUCCAUCAAUAACUAAAACAAAAGAAUAUAGAUUCAUUAGAAGGUAACGGCCAACACGGAGGCUUCCUGCUGUGUGGUUACCCAAGACAGAAUCCUGCCCCUGGCCAGUGUCUGGAGCUGGGCUGGAGGCUGUGUGAUGUCAUCUCACCUCCACAAGAGGAGGCUCCGUUCUUGCCCACUGCAGCCCAGAGGUGGAAUUCCUGGACCCUAAUCCUCAAAUCCCUCAGACACCGCCGGAUGCCGAGGAUAUUCUAGCACCAUGCCAAGUGCCACCCUGGGCACCGCCGACAUUGGGGCUGGAUAACUCUGCUGGGGGCCGUCUGUGCACUACACUACAUUUUAUGGCAUCCCGGCUUCCACCCAGUGGAACGACUUGGGUGACUGGGGUUUCCUGCACACAUCCUGGCAGGAACCUUGCCUGCAAUGAUGUCCUCCAGUGGCCACACUGUGAAAUGUGCAACAUUGACUCUGCUCUCGGCUCCUGUUCUUCCAGGAACGCUUGGUACUACCUCCAACUACCCUGGCACCUGCUUCCCCACAGCUACGGGUUCAACUAGAGAAAGGUCUCUUAAGCGAGAUGGCAGGGCCACACACCUGGUAUUGCCCAAACCGGAAUGGCUGGCUGCCCUCAGGCACAGAGUCCACUUGUCAAUCUCUCCUGCAACAGGACAACCCAGCCAGCCCUAUCACCCACAGCCAUCAGCCUUAGGUGCUCAGCCAUGAGGGAUGUUGACAGGGCUGUCACCUCUUCUUGCUCCUACUCAGUCCAUCUAGAAAUGGCGGCCUUCUCAGGGCAGGCCUCGACACAGCAGCUAGAUGCCCGACUCCUGUCCCAACCUGUCAAUACAGGGGCCUCAGGAGCAGCAGCUAUGAUGGUGCCACCUGGAGAACUAAGAGCCUACGCACCUGAUAGUGGUGCCACAUGCAGAGUGGAGAGGAGCAGGAACCUGGACUUAGCACCAGGCACAAGCUGACCAGCACGGAAGGAGAAACCAUCAAACUGCUAAAAGACGACACCGGAGAGAGUCUUUGGAAUCCUGGGUGGGCAACGAUGACAAACGUCCAUAAAAAUACAAUAUUCAAUACGAGACUUUACAAAACUUCUGCUCAUCAAAAAGAUUCCAUCAACAGAGUGUGAUUGCAAAGUAGGAAAAGAUAUAUUUUUGGUACCAGGGAUUGAGGGAUUGAGCUCAGUGGCGCUUGACCACUGAGCCACAUCCCCAGCCCUUGUUUGUAUUUUAUUUAGAGACAGGGCCUCACCGAGUUGCUUAGCAGCCUCACUUUUGCUGAGGUGGCUUUGAACUCACCAUCCUCCCGUCUCAGCUCUGGGACACACAGCUAUUAUCACCAUACCCGGCAGGAAGAGAUCUCAAUACAAAUAUCCAACUCAAGACCUGUAUCCAGAAUCUGUCACAGGUUUCUACAGUUUUAGUGUGCUAGGGGUUUGAACCUGCCUCCCAAAAUGUGUGCACUGGAAACUUUAUCCCCAAUGCAAAGGUGUGGGGAAGAGGGCACAAGGAGAGGAAAUUGGGCCCGUAAGGCUACACCGUCAUAGAUGCAUUAAGCCCUUCAUCAUUGGGACCACACACAUUUGACACAAACGGACCUUGCAAAGCCCAGGCAGCAACUGAGUUGUAGCAGGGGUUAAAGGUUUCGUAUCCAUGCUGGCCAGAGGUAGCUUACUUCUCAGGGACCAUCCAUGGCCUCCGGAUAUCUCCCUUAAGAGUCUGAAUGUCCAGAACGCUCCGUCCUCCUGAACCUCUUUUCUUCCUCCCCCUUCAAAUUGUCCUUUCUGCCAAGAAUCACUUGCCUCCCUACUUCCUGCUGACACAUUAAUUACAACAACAAAUAACCCGAGUGAUGUCAUCUAAACGCUCACUUCCUGUAGUGGACUGGCUGUGGCAGAGGAGGGUGGGGAGGCAAGGCCUCUGCCCCAUGUCCAGCACCUCAUGCCUCAUUCUAGAGAGGAAAAAAAGACCGCGGCUCUCACUUGGCACGAAGCCCUUACACAGAGGAACUCACCCCGAAGGGGAACAAAGAUUUAAGCUGGAUCCAAUAGCACCUUCUAGAAAUGCUUGGGACUUCCACCAAAUGGGCUCUGUGACAGACAAAGAGGAACGUGACCAGAAAACUGGAAACCCAGGUUGGCUGGUGACAUCACGAUGAGGAGCUAUGGGGGCGACGUGGCAGAGGCCCAGCCCGCAGUAUUCCACACUGCCCAUGGCCCUUCACCGUUUCACCUGAACUCACCUCCAUGUGUCCUAACGGGGCCACCAGCUGGAAUCUGUCCUGCAAGCCUAGCACUUGGUAUCACAGUUAUCUUGGAUUAUGGCUUCAAGAGCCAAGUCUGACCUUGGGUUCAAGGUCACAUCCCUAGACGGGUGAUCAAAGGGCAGGGGUGGCCACUCUGAGGCCAUAUGUGUCCCCAACCCACAUAAGAAAACCAAUCUUGUCACUCCAGUUUCUCCAAGAUCCCAAGCAGAACCCUCCUCAUGGAAGGCCACGGGCUUGGGUACCCAAAUCAACAAUCCAGGAGACUUCAGGAUUUAUUUUCUAGGAGACAAGAGGUCCCAAAUAUUACCAAGACCGUUUUGUCUGUAGUCCUCUAGCUACACGGUCUUAGUGUCAGUUAUUGUACACGUAUUCAGCCGAGCCCAACCUACCCCAUCCUCAACGUCACUGCGUCACUCAGAACUACCUGCCCUAUAGCCACCAAGACUCUUAGACUGCCACAGCUGUUCUCAACGUGUGCUGGCCAGUCUCAGAACAGUGUUCCAAGUUCCUAGCCAAAGUGCUGCUCCCACCUGCUGGGAGGUCACAGCAGGUCCAGCUGUGAGAACAACUGCCCAGGCAAGGGACAACUCGAGGUCGUGCCUGCAGGGGGUCCGUCCACCUUUGGGGCAGUUGACUCCCAAGUUUUCAGCUGACCCUUACCCCAGUGAUAGAGCUCCUUUCUCCUGCUCUGUCUUCUUGUUCCUGAUCAUGCACAGAGUGCUCCAUCAACCCAAAACAUGGGAAAAGCAGCCCAGGCUCUAGACCUUGAUGAGCUGAGGAUUCUCCAGCCUCCACAGGGACCUUCUGGGAGCCAGCAACAAACACAUCACCCGCUCUGUGGGCAGGGCCCUGGCUUGCUGUCGCACAGUGAGCAGAUGACUUGGGAGGCAGAACCGUCCACAGCCGCUGAAGCGGAGGCUGCCCACACUCACCAGCAGCCCCAGGGAAGUGUGGAGGGGGAAUCCUGGACGACAUCCCUCCAGACUUAAACCCCAGCCCCGUGGUCCUAGGGAUGCCGUGCCCUGGGGUUCUCUUUACAAGGACUGAGAUAUACAAACAGUGGAUCCAUUUCAAUAAGAUAUGAAGAAACGAGAAAAGAUCAUUUUGAAACAGGCUGUUAUAUAUAGAAAAUUAAAUCAAGUGCCUUGGCUGUAAACACCAGGGUGGAUCAUGCACCAGAGUGCCAUUAAUUAUUAACUGUCCUGAAAUGUCCCAAUACGGACUAAAUGGCCUACUCCCAGAGCAAAAUGUAUUCUCAUUGACAAAAGGAGACCAAAAUAUUUGUCAUGGUUGCUAAUUUGAAUAGAAUGGGUUCCAAAAUUAGAAAGUGGCUACUUCAAUGUUGAGCGUCUUGACAAGGCGUUUUGCAGUUGGAACAGGGAGACCAACAGGCUGUCUCCCCAAGCACUCCGUGCAGUGGGCCUUACUACCAGCCUCCCCUUUUGAUUUUGAAGAAUUUUAAAGCCAAGCCACACUCCCUCCAUUACUGGUAACCAUGCUAAACGGUUCCAAUACCGCACCUGAGCAUUUGCAGCGAUCCUGUCAAAUAAAAUCUUCCUCCAAGUUAACUCUGCUCUAUAUUUAUGCAUUAAUAUCACAGCUUACUGCAAAGCGCACAAAUCAUUUUAACAGAGUGUAAAUUUAACUACCAUGAAGGCAUUUUAUACUCUGCUUAACUUCACUAAGGGGCCCAUAUUUUUUGGAGCAGAUAAAUCAGGUUUCCAUAUAACUCUACUUAAGGGAACAGAAGUCAAAACUUAUAAAGAGAAAUAUGCCCUGUGUCCCUGGAUUACAGAGCAAAUAAACAUAUCUGCACCCCAGCCAAGAGUCUACUUUUGUCAUCUGUAACUCUUACCAAGCAUAGAGCACCCACUGGACUACCUGGCCCAGGGAAGGUGGAAGGGUGGGAGAGGUUGUCACCUUCCUCCCAAGUCCAGUCCCUGUCCUCUUGCUAUUCUGCAAUGAUGAGGACUGACCACUGUUGCCCUGAGAACAUCUUCCCCACAUCAUGAGGAGCCGACAUCUGUACCAUCUUGAAUGUCAUCGAUAGAAACAUGAUCUCCUCUGGGUCUUUCCUAAAGGGAACUCAUGCCCUGAUGUCACAAGGUCCCCAGAUACACACAAGAAAAGUAAAAAGAAAAAAAAAAAAAAAAAA